This 253-nucleotide ribosomal RNA is filed under the name Horticoccus sp. RNAcentral's name for it is "partial 16S ribosomal RNA". It matches the Rfam family "Bacterial small subunit ribosomal RNA", at positions 524 to 776 of the family's 1533-position model. RNAcentral also lists the same sequence under 1 other name. The record is from RNAcentral. Lineage: Bacteria; Pseudomonadati; Verrucomicrobiota; Opitutia; Opitutales; Opitutaceae.
UACAGAGACUGCAAGCGUUAUUCGGAUUCACUGGGCGUAAAGGGUGCGCAGGUGGCCAAGUGUGUUAGGCGUGAAAGCCCGGGGCUUAACCCCGGAAUUGCACCUAAAACUACAUGGCUAGAGCAUUGGAGAGGGGAGCAGAAUUCACGGUGUAGCAGUGAAAUGCGUAGAUAUCGUGAGGAAUACCAGAGGCGAAGGCGGCUCCCUGGACAAUUGCUGACACUCAGGCACGAAAGCGUGGGGAGCAAAAGGG